This 440-nucleotide ribosomal RNA is filed under the name uncultured bacterium. Its description in RNAcentral is "partial 16S ribosomal RNA". It matches the Rfam family "Bacterial small subunit ribosomal RNA", at positions 338 to 795 of the family's 1533-position model. The record is from RNAcentral.
CCUACGGGAGGCUGCAGUGGGGAAUAUUGCACAAUGGAGGAAACCCUGAUGCAGCAACGCCGCGUGAGUGAAGAAGUAAUUCGUUAUGUAAAGCUCUAUAGGCAGGGAAGAAAAUGACGGUACCUGAUUAAGAAGCCCCGGCUAACUACGUGCCAGCAGCAGCGGUAAUACGUAGGGGGCAGGCGUUGUCCGGAUUUACUGGGUGUAAAGGGGGCGUAGACGGCAGUGAAAGUCUGGAGUGAAAGGCGGGGGCUUAACCCCCGGACUGCUCUUGAAACUGUACGGCUGGAGUGCAGGAGAGGUAAGUGGAAUUCCUAGUGUAGCGGUGAAAUGCGUAGAUAUUAGGAGGAACACCAGUGGCGAAGGCGGCUUACUGGACUGUAACUGACGUUGAGGCUCGAAAGCGUGGGGAGCAAACAGGAUUAGAUACCCCGGUAGUC